GAUCAUGGCUCAGGAUGAACGCUAGCGGCAGGCCUAAUACAUGCAAGUCAAGGGGAUAGCAAUAUCACCGGCGGACGGGUGCGUAACGCGUACACAACGUGCCCAAGGGCGGAGGAAAGCGGCGGGAAACUGCCGGUAAUACUCCAUGGUGUUGUUGAGUGGCAUCACUUAACAACUAAAGUACAAGCGCCCUUGGAUCGGUGUGCGUUCGAUUAGCUAGUUGGCGGGGUAACGGCCCACCAAGGCUUCGAUCGAUAGGGGGUGUGAGAGCAUGACCCCCCACACGGGUACUGAGACACGGACCCGACUCCUACGGGAGGCAGCAGUAAGGAAUAUUGGACAAUGGGCGGAAGCCUGAUCCAGCCAUGCCGCGUGAAGGACGAAGGCGCUCAGCGUUGUAAACUUCUUUUGGAUGGGAACAAUAACUCCGACUUGUCGGAACUUGAGGGUACCAUCAGAAUAAGCACCGGCUAACUCCGUG
Molecule: ribosomal RNA, 481 nt
Filed under: uncultured bacterium
Lineage: Bacteria
Description: bacterial SSU rRNA
Rfam family: Bacterial small subunit ribosomal RNA
Source: RNAcentral